RNAcentral lists this ribosomal RNA (468 nucleotides) under uncultured bacterium. RNAcentral describes it as "partial 16S ribosomal RNA". It matches the Rfam family "Bacterial small subunit ribosomal RNA", at positions 28 to 507 of the family's 1533-position model. The record is from RNAcentral.
GACGAACGCUGGCGGCGUGCUUAACACAUGCAAGUCGAACGGAAAGGCCCUGCUUGUGUGGGGUGCUCGAGUGGCGAACGGGUGAGUAACACGUGAGUAACCUGCCCUUGACUUUGGGAUAACUUCAGGAAACUGGGGCUAAUACCGGAUAGGAGCUCCUGCUGCAUGGUGGGGGUUGGAAAGUUUCGGCGGUUGGGGAUGGACUCGCGGCUUAUCAGCGUGUUGGUGGGGUAGUGGCUUACCAAGGCUUUGACGGGUAGCCGGCCUGAGAGGGUGACCGGCCACAUUGGGACUGAGCUACGGCCCAGACUCCUACGGGAGGCCGCAGUGGGGAAUAUUGUACAAUGGGCGGAAGCCUGAUGCCGCAACGCCGCGUGCGGGAUGACGGCCUUCGGGUUGUAAACCGCUUUCGCCUGUGACGAAGCGUGAGUGACGGUAAUGGGUAAAGAAGCACCGGCUAACUACGUG